GGACGCGCCCGGUCCCAUUCCGAACCCGGAAGCUAAGCCCUCCAGCGCCGAUGGUACUGCACUCGACAGGGUGUGGGAGAGUAGGACACCGCCGAAC
Molecule: ribosomal RNA, 97 nt
Filed under: Rhodococcus sp. 06-1474-1B
Lineage: Bacteria; Bacillati; Actinomycetota; Actinomycetes; Mycobacteriales; Nocardiaceae
Source: RNAcentral